GAUGAACGCUGGCGGCGUGCCUAAUACAUGCAAGUCGAGCGAACAGACGAGGAGCUUGCUCCUCUGACGUUAGCGGCGGACGGGUGAGUAACACGUGGAUAACCUACCUAUAAGACUGGGAUAACUUCGGGAAACCGGAGCUAAUACCGGAUAAUAUAUUGAACCGCAUGGUUCAAUAGUGAAAGACGGUUUUGCUGUCACUUAUAGAUGGAUCCGCGCCGCAUUAGCUAGUUGGUAAGGUAACGGCUUACCAAGGCGACGAUGCGUAGCCGACCUGAGAGGGUGAUCGGCCACACUGGAACUGAGACACGGUCCAGACUCCUACGGGAGGCAGCAGUAGGGAAUCUUCCGCAAUGGGCGAAAGCCUGACGGAGCAACGCCGCGUGAGUGAUGAAGGUCUUCGGAUCGUAAAACUCUGUUAUUAGGGAAGAACAAAUGUGUAAGUAACUAUGCACGUCUUGACGGUACCUAAUCAGAAAACCACGGCUAACUACGU
RNAcentral lists this ribosomal RNA (496 nucleotides) under uncultured bacterium. Its description in RNAcentral is "partial 16S ribosomal RNA". It matches the Rfam family "Bacterial small subunit ribosomal RNA", at positions 28 to 506 of the family's 1533-position model. The record is from RNAcentral.